RNAcentral lists this ribosomal RNA (354 nucleotides) under uncultured bacterium. RNAcentral's name for it is "bacterial SSU rRNA". It matches the Rfam family "Bacterial small subunit ribosomal RNA", at positions 22 to 356 of the family's 1533-position model. The record is from RNAcentral.
GCUCAGGAUGAACGCUGGCGGCGUGCUUAACACAUGCAAGUCGAACGAAGCACUUUAUUUGAUUUCCUUCGGGACUGAUUAUUUUGUGACUGAGUGGCGGACGGGUGAGUAACGCGUGGGUAACCUGCCUUGUACAGGGGGAUAACAGUUGGAAACGGCUGCUAAUACCGCAUAAGCGCACAGUAUCGCAUGAUGCAGUGUGAAAAACUCCGGUGGUAUAAGAUGGACCCGCGUUGGAUUAGCUAGUUGGUGAGGUAACGGCCCACCAAGGCGACGAUCCAUAGCCGACCUGAGAGGGUGACCGGCCACAUUGGGACUGAGACACGGCCCAAACUCCUACGGGAGGCAGCAGUA